UCUAGUUUGAUAGCCCCAAAACAGAAAUGGGAAUUUCAGACGCCUUGUCUUCCAGAAAAUAAGUUUAGCCCGCAGUGUCUUUAAUUUGAUAGAAGAUGGACGCUUUAUCGCAACUUUUUAUCUGGAGAUAUAAUUUCUAGUAUUUUCUAGGGACAUUUUUAUUUGCUACUGGAUAAUUAUUAUAGUGGUAUCGCUUUAUGACUGUUCUAUGAAUGAAAAUAGUUACAUGAUGAAAUGUUUAACCGUUUCCUUUGACUUUCUCAAAUUAAAGUUUUUGUGACAAACAGAGCCCAAAUAAAAUGACGAAAUUGUGUGUGACGAAAUUUACAAUGUCGUCAUUGAUCCAGACUGAAAGAAGGAAAAUGGAAUAUUUCAUGACGGCCAGAGACCAUCGAGUGGAUCGUUGGUUGGGCUUUAACAAUGCUGCUUGUGACCGAGACAACAACUUAUUUUCGUGUAGUUCGUGAAACUUGAAUGUAAUAUCGGUACAAAGAGCUGAGAACUAGGCCAACCACGUAAAUGCUCUUAAAUGAAGCGCAUUCCUGCAUUCAGACAGGUUUUUUUUCCAUACAGUAGUCACUCAAAGAACAACACUUCAUGGGCCACAUUUACUCCAUCUAUUUCACUAGUGAAUUUAUUACAAAUGUUCAGUUUUAGUUAAAUCAACAAGAUUAGAAUAUUUAAAACAUAUUUUUCUACGUAUCUUAUUUGGGAUUCGUUUCGAUAGAAAUGUUACAAAACUGAGGGAAAAGUAUGAAAAUUCUAAAUAUCCAAAAAUUAGUUAAACGCACAAAAUUAAAAUAUUUCGAACAUAUUUUGCCCUUUUCUUUUGAGUCCAUUUAUCAUAAAAAUCUGAGUUUAAAGAUAUUAGAGGAACAGUACGAAAUUCUAAAAAUUCCAAUUGUUGAUUAAACUCACAAAAUUAUUUAAAAAAUAUUUUACAUAUAAAUAUUUCUUGUACAUUUAGCAUGAAAAAUAUAAUUAUCGAAGGGUUUUAGAGGUAUCUUGAACAGGCAACGAAGAAAAUUCGAGGCUGGCAAGAGCUAAGAGACGACCCUUCUCGUUAUACAACUUUUAAUUACAAUCGGUUCGAUUUCCUUUUUACCGGAGUUUCCAUCUGGGGCUUCGUUAAACACAACCGUGGAGCUGACACUCGUAACGUCCACUUAUUUUUCUCUCCGCGGCCUUUUCACAGUACUGAAUAUCCCCCUGACAUCCUUAAUUAAUGACGGAAAUACGUUGUUAGUUCUUCGAGUGGUCGAGCUCCGCGACUGUCGUUUACGUAUCAGUUUUCUCCUCCCUUCGAGACUUAUCUCAGUCAUUGCGAGCCAUUCUCACGUUCAAACGAAGUUUAAGCUAUCUGCAGCCACUGUUUAAAUAUAUUCGUAAACUUCUCUACAUUUCAAGUCUGCCAUCUAAAUGUGGAUUUGAAUAGAAUAGCACAAAGAAGAUAAUUUCUUCCACUC
This 1466-nucleotide unclassified non-coding RNA is filed under the name Bombus terrestris (buff-tailed bumblebee). Its description in RNAcentral is "misc RNA ENSBTSG00005029674.1". The record is from RNAcentral. Lineage: Eukaryota; Metazoa; Arthropoda; Insecta; Hymenoptera; Apidae.